UUGAAAAGACUAAGAUAAGGAUGAGCAUUACUCAUCAAUGUAGUCUUGAUGAAAUGAGAAACAAAGUGCAAGGCAUAUCCUUCCCACACACACACUACUAGCAAAUGGGUCACAAGCUUACAAAAAAACGAUUAAGAACCAACGCUUGCGACAACCCAUGGUGAAUACAGGAAAUAAUAACCUUGUCAAGAGGAGGGAUACCAAUCGAAAUGGCAAAACCCUCGUCAAGACAAGCAUGAUGAAAAAAAUCUUCACCACCAAUGAGUGCAUCAAGAUGCAAGGAUAUAAGA
This 290-nucleotide long non-coding RNA is filed under the name Hordeum vulgare. RNAcentral describes it as "long non-coding RNA (HVUL_LNC010642)". Lineage: Eukaryota; Viridiplantae; Streptophyta; Magnoliopsida; Poales; Poaceae. The record is from RNAcentral.